RNAcentral lists this long non-coding RNA (353 nucleotides) under Mytilus galloprovincialis (Mediterranean mussel). Lineage: Eukaryota; Metazoa; Mollusca; Bivalvia; Mytilida; Mytilidae. The record is from RNAcentral.
UAGGUGGUGAGCAGUUCUCUUUUCUGUAGUUCCACAUAAACGACAGUUAUAGUCUGGGUCCAUUAUUUACCAUAUCUGUUGACAAAAAAAGACUAUAUUGGAUUUGUUUUAAAGGGUUGAAGGGUAGAAAAAGCACAUCAUAAGUUGUGAUUGAAAGUUGUUUGUCUUACGUCCAGUGGCAUGUAUUUCAUUCAUAUUCGGGACUGUACAUAUUGAAAAUUGAGCCGAUUUAAUCAAGAUUUAAAAAAAGACAAUUUGAUUAUAGAGCAAUUAUAAGACUUACUCCAAAUCCAGGGUUGGUAUAACACCAUGUUAAAUAAGGCUUUACGUAUAUAAUUAUAUAUGAAAUAUCC